Molecule: long non-coding RNA, 2792 nt
Filed under: Triticum aestivum (bread wheat)
Lineage: Eukaryota; Viridiplantae; Streptophyta; Magnoliopsida; Poales; Poaceae
Description: long non-coding RNA (TAES_LNC016264)
Source: RNAcentral
UGACAACUUAAUUGUUUGAAGUGUAUUGUUACCAUUUACACAAAAAUGAAGAGAUGGUUUGAACAGUGGGCAAAAAGGGAUCUUCAGACAUCAAACAAGGUUUCUAAAUCGACCAAAACAAAAAUUCACAGACUAAGAUAACAUCAUCCAUUAGCUGUCAAAAACAUCUCAUCACUUCUCCUUUUUCUCCGCGGGGACAACCUUCUUCAUCCGGGCUCCCAGCUGGUGCUGGUUCAUCAACUCGACACGGAACUUCUUGCCGCCGUGAGUGAUGGGCAUCUAAUCGCCCUGGCCCCCUGGAUGGCUGUAGCAAGCUCCUCUGUUAGAAUUGAAUCACCAGGCUUGGAGCAAGAGAGGUGUAAACACGGAGAAAAACAAUACAAAGCUCACUAAUAAUAGGUUGAUGGUAUUUCUUAUACACAAACUGAAACUAAUGACUGCUAGAAUUCCACCAUUCAACCGAUGUUACAAGCACCUGAAGACAUUAUUAUUCCAAAUAACACCACCGUAACUGAAGCAACCAACAAACUAAACUCUAGAACAUCAAAGGACAAUCAGAUUAAUCCUUCUCUGAAGCUCGCAUGAUAGAAAUGCCAACUUCUAACCUAGUUCAAAGAUACUGUAUAUAAUAGAUUGGCAUCGUUAUGUCUAAUAUGCAAUAAAUUAUGCAACAAAUAGAAUCCAAUAAAUCCAGUAAAUCUAAUUUUCAUUCUUCUAUGUAUAUUAGUUUUUUAGAUUUAAGAGGAGAAAUAUUUCAUGAACAUUUAAAGUCAUCAUGCUUUGAAUUAGACGACACAAGCAUUAGAACUGCAUUUGCUCGAUCCUUGAGUGAGACCUUUCUACUCCCAAGAAAAGAAGAAGAGAAGAAAAGUGUAAUCUGGAUGUGGCAUCAAUAGCAUAGCUAGAAAGUAUAUAUAUAUGCAGUUGUUCAAGACUGACUAACCAUUUUGCAUUGAAGUUUGCAAAUAAAUCAUUUUCAUAUUUGAACAAGGGGACUUGUAAACCUCAGGAACAGACGUUUCUUUAAGAUUUAACAAAUAGCAGCAGAAACUCUGCAUGAAAGAAACAAUUCUGAUGCACUGAGAUAAACAACUCCAAUGUACUUGUUGAUAUGAAGGUGAUCGAGUAGAUAGACUGACACAGACAACAGUAAGCAUACCUCUUGUCAAUCUGCACUUCAGAGCCUAGUUACUUUUUGAGCCAAUAUAUGCAUCAACUCAGGAUCCUCCGCUGUAUAAACCUGGUAUCACGAAGAAAGGCAACAAUAAGCAUACCUCUUCUCAAUCUGCACUUCGGAGCCUAGAUUUUGUAUCAAUCUCAAUAUGAAAACUGAAGCAAUAUACAUUGGCAUACCAGGAAGAAAGGCAACAAUACCCAGCAACAAAUAGGCCAUACACCUGAGAGCUGUCAGCAUCCAUGUGACCUUGAAACUGCAUAAGGAAAUAUCAUAGCAAAAGUUUAAUAUUGUCUGAUAGGACACAACAGCCAUGUAUCUUUCUAAGAAAGUUGACAAUCAGCUUGUAAACAAAAUACCUUGCUAGUUGCAAAACAACCUUCGGUAUCAUCUUUGUAUCAUUAUGUAGCAAAGGUCCCUACUUUAUAUUAGCCUAACAAACCUGCCGAAGCUAUCUGCACAACUCCACAAAAAUCAGAAAGAAUUAAGAGAAUUAGUAUUAAAAGGAGAGCAGUAUGCCUACAAGGAUGAAAUAAUAGGAUGGAUUGACAUGAACUACACACGCAUUAGUACCUGCAGUUCAAUAUCCCAAUGCCCUUAAGAAUUUCUACUACUCCUGAUCUGAAAGUGUUCAACUUAACCAAAUAGAUUGUUACUUAUCUUUGGCUCUGAACAAUACUGACUUAUAAACAGUUAUAAGCAUCAAAUUUCAAAGAAUCACAGAUCAACAAGUUGCUGGCUGAUCUGUCGUACAUGUAUUUAUUUUUUCAACGGUAUGCUUGCCCUUGGGACAAAGCUUUGAAUUGGCUAGCAUAAAUAUGUAAUAGUCUAUGUGAAGCAAUAAACUGGGAAUUAGAAGAAAAAAAUCAACUGAAAAUUAUGUCUUAUGAUUUGAUAUAGCUUAAAAAGGAUCCACUUUAUGAGUUGAAACAAAGCACGUGAAUGACAUAGUCACAAAGAUACGUCCGCCAACCUUCUUCCUCCCAGUAGACAUGGAAAUUAGUAGUCACCCAUCUAGGAUUAAGUAAAUAAAAAGAAAGAUGGAAAAGAGAGAGCACCUUUGAUGAACACAGACAACCAAGCAGCUUCCCCUUGUUCUCGUCUUGGCCGGCACUACACCUCUUCCCGGUCGGCAACCUGGAUGAGCGACAACCUGGCCGGCACUACGCCGAACGAUACAGCUACCCGCAGCUCACGCUGCUCAGGCCAACCGCACAUAGACCACGAACGCUGCACCACAUCCUGGGCCGCUGUCCCAACAUGUCGUCCAACAGUCCCGACUGGGGCGCAUUGACGGAGCUGACAACCUUGCUGCUUCCGCACUUCAAGGUCCUCACCCAAGCCAUGCCGACAAGCAGCCCUACCUCUUGGAGCUGUCGUCGCAGUACUGCCCGAGGCCGCAGCCUCGACACUUAAUAGAAGAUCCCGGAGCCGCAGCCCCGACAUACACCGCCUUUGAAAACGAAAGAGCCCCACACGACAUCCAAAGGCUGGCCCUCCAAGGCAACGCCUCUGAAGAUGGUUACGACGUAAACGCCGCCGCCACCCACUCCAGAAAACUGGAGUUUAGGUUCUCACCCGGAGAACCCAAGCACAUGAAAGGAUAGGAAGAUGUCUA